UAUGUAUUUAUGUGAUUAUCAUAUGAAUUCACAGAAGACAUAAAUAUAAAUUAUCUUAUGAUUAAAUAAAUUAAGUUCACAGUUGAUAAAUAGAGUUGAGUGCUCUAUUUAUGCUUAGACUUUAAUAAAUUCAUUGAAUGAUUUGUCUUAAUUAUGUAUGAAUUUAUUGAUGUAGUACGACUACAUUGAACAAGAUCACAUAUGAGAUUUAAUUAACUUUGUAAUAACUGUCAGACUUAUUAAAUCUCAUAGGUAUUGAUUUUACUGUAAUUUUAAUCUUGAGUUCGUUAUGAUUUCAUAAUUGUAAUUGUUAUUCCAUUUGAGUUACUAAUGAGCACGACACAUAUUUGUAGUCAAGAUUACCCGGUAUCUUGGUGGGAGCAAUUAUGAGUAUUGGAGUUAUAGAUUAACAAUAUAAAAUUUGUACAACACAUUUCUUGAUGGGUUUUCGGUACUUGAUCAUAGAAUUCUCUUGCCAGAGUGUGUUAACAUAUUUAGUAUGUUGAAAAUGAUCAUUAGAGAAAACCAGUAAGUAUCAAGGAAAAAGAUGUAAUUAAAUUGAUUGGACAUUUGAGAUAUUGAUUUAAUUAACAAUGUGGUACAAAUGAUUGUGCAGUAAAGAAAUCAAUGUGACAUGGGUCGAAUUAUUAUUCGAGUACACUAUCCUAGAUAGCAUACAAUUACGGACGUUAAUUCCAAUCUUUUAGUGGAGUAGAUUUGGAAUUAAAUAAUUAGGCUAGUUUAAUUACAAGCCUAAUUAUUGUAGCCAUUAUUGUAUGUACCCAAAUGAUCCCUGGGUUAGCUCAUUUAAUUGACUGCACCACUACUGGAUUAAUAAGCAAAAUAACUAUCUAUUUAGGUCAAAAGUCUAAAUAUACCAUUUAGUGGGAGGCUCCAUUUAAUAUGCUUGUGUGUAAGGGGCCUUAUGUUAUUUUAUAAGGUGGACCCCCUAUAGUAAAAGCAAGUAACCGUGACUUUUGAUUUGAUUAUUUGGAGUCUAAGGUUUCACUAAAUGGAGAUAAAAGACUUAUUUUCUCUAAAGGAAAUAGACAGAGCCGCAAUAUACAGACCAAAGAAAAAGAAUUUUUCUCUCUAAAAUUGAGAGGAAAAUUUUUCUCUUGCUAGUUGUUUUAGUGGCGAUAAAGGAGCCCACACGUCAAGUGCAGAUCAAACCUGAGUUAUAACCUGGAAGAUCAUUGGUGACAGAUCGUGAUCUAACAAGCGUGAUGGUGACGAAUCAUGAUCUAACAGGCGUGGUGGUGACGAAUCAUGAUCUAACAGGCGUGGUGAUGACGGAUCGUGAUCUAACAAAAGUGGUGGUGACAGAUCGUGAUCUGGGAGCCUGAAUUAUUUUCAAUUGUUCAUAUCUUCUCGGAUUGUCAAUGUAUGAUUUUCUAGAUUACGAAUUCCUAUAUAUUAUAUGAGAUCGAA
RNAcentral lists this long non-coding RNA (1431 nucleotides) under Citrus x clementina. Its description in RNAcentral is "Citrus clementina (C. clementina) long non-coding RNA (CCLE_LNC006621)". Lineage: Eukaryota; Viridiplantae; Streptophyta; Magnoliopsida; Sapindales; Rutaceae. The record is from RNAcentral.